UUCAUCAGAAAGUUCCUCUGUCAGGCGCUUCCGCGGGCGGCGCGGGGCAAACCCCACAAAGGCGGCCGCGACGCUCGCUGCGCGCGGUAACAAAGGGAAGACAAAGCGCACGGAUCCCGCCUUGGGUUUCGAAUAAUCAAAUUUUUGAAGACUACUUGAGUUGAAGACUGACAUGUUCUCAUGUCCUAAGCAACUGCAAAGACUUUAAAGUGAAAAUAGAAUAUGACCUUUUGAUUUCUCAUUUUACAUUACUCUAUUUAUGGGCCAAAUUUUAAAGAGAUGCAACGUGUCUAGGAUUAUGUAUGCGGUUGGAGCGUGUUGAAGAAAAGAUGUGACUAACGUUGGAUCGGGGAUAUUUUUUCCCUUCGCAAUUUACAUAUCAGAAAUUUCUACAAUUAUAAAUAUCCGUGUAUCUGACUUUAAAUACUAAAU
Mustela erminea (ermine) is the source of this 432-nucleotide long non-coding RNA. RefSeq lists it as uncharacterized. NCBI's taxonomy places the organism in Eukaryota, Metazoa, Chordata, Mammalia, Carnivora, Mustelidae. The transcript is spliced from 3 exons. The record is from RefSeq and is a predicted model, not a curated record.